CCUACGGGUGGCAGCAGUGGGGAAUAUUGGACAAUGGGCGAAAGCCUGAUCCAGCCAUGCCGCGUGUGUGAAGAAGGCCUUCGGGUUGUAAAGCACUUUCAGUGGGGAAGAAAGCCUUGGGGCUAAUACCCUCGAGGAAGGACAUCACCCACAGAAGAAGCACCGGCUAACUCCGUGCCAGCAGCCGCGGUAAUACGGAGGGUGCGAGCGUUAAUCGGAAUUACUGGGCGUAAAGCGCGCGUAGGCGGUCUGAUAAGCCGGUUGUGAAAGCCCCGGGCUCAACCUGGGAACGGCAUCCGGAACUGACAGGCUAGAGUGCAGGAGAGGAAGGUAGAAUUCCAGGUGUAGCGGUGAAAUGCGUAGAGAUCGGGAGGAAUACCAGUGGCGAAGGCGGCCUUCUGGACUGACACUGACGCUGAGGUGCGAAAGCGUGGGUAGCAAACAGGAUUAGAUACCCCAGUAGUC
RNAcentral lists this ribosomal RNA (465 nucleotides) under Vreelandella stevensii. Its description in RNAcentral is "partial 16S ribosomal RNA". It matches the Rfam family "Bacterial small subunit ribosomal RNA", at positions 338 to 795 of the family's 1533-position model. Lineage: Bacteria; Pseudomonadati; Pseudomonadota; Gammaproteobacteria; Oceanospirillales; Halomonadaceae. The record is from RNAcentral.